UCUCUCCUACGGGACGCAGCAGUGAGGAAUAUUGGUCAAUGGCCGAGAGACUGAACCAGCCAAGUCGCGUGAGGGAUGACGGCCCUACGGGUUGUAAACCUCUUUUGUCGGGGAGCAAAGAGAGUCACGUGUGGCUCAUUGAGAGUACCCGAAGAAAAAGCAUCGGCUAACUCCGUGCCAGCAGCCGCGGUAAUACGGAGGAUGCGAGCGUUAUCCGGAUUUAUUGGGUUUAAAGGGUGCGUAGGCGGACAGUCAAGUCAGCGGUAAAAAUGCGGUGCUCAACGCCGUACAGCCGUUGAAACUGG
This 305-nucleotide ribosomal RNA is filed under the name uncultured bacterium. RNAcentral describes it as "bacterial SSU rRNA". It matches the Rfam family "Bacterial small subunit ribosomal RNA", at positions 333 to 636 of the family's 1533-position model. The record is from RNAcentral.